This 451-nucleotide ribosomal RNA is filed under the name uncultured bacterium. RNAcentral's name for it is "partial 16S ribosomal RNA". It matches the Rfam family "Bacterial small subunit ribosomal RNA", at positions 354 to 796 of the family's 1533-position model. The record is from RNAcentral.
GUGGGGAAUCUUCCGCAAUGGACGAAAGUCUGACGGAGCAACGCCGCGUGAGUGAUGAAGGUCUUCGGAUUGUAAAGCUCUGUUAAUCGGGACGAAAGAGCCUAGUGUGAAUAAUGCUAGGAAGUGACGGUACCGGAAUAGAAAGCCACGGCUAACUACGUGCCAGCAGCCGCGGUAAUACGUAGGUGGCAAGCGUUGUCCGGAAUUAUUGGGCGUAAAGCGCGCGCAGGCGGAUCUGCCAGUCUGUCUUAAAAGUUCGGGGCUUAACCCCGUGAUGGGAUGGAAACUACAGAUCUAGAGUAUCGGAGAGGAAAGUGGAAUUCCUAGUGUAGCGGUGAAAUGCGUAGAUAUUAGGAAGAACACCAGUGGCGAAGGCGACUUUCUGGACGAAAACUGACGCUGAGGCGCGAAAGCCAGGGGAGCGAACGGGAUUAGGAUACCCCUGUAGUCC